AUGCAUGCUUUUACAGUAUGAAAAUUGGUGAUUUAUAAUAACUUAGCAAAUCGCAAAGUGAAAACAGGCGAUAAAUCAUUCAAGUUUCUGACCUAUCAGCUUUCGACGGUAUGGUAUUGGCUUACCGUGGCAGUGACGGUUAACGGGGGAUUAGGGUUCGAUUCCGGAGAGGGAGCCUGAGAAACGGCUACCACAUCUAAGGAAGGCAGCAGGCGCGCAAAUUACCCAAUUCUAACAGUUUGAGAGAGGUAGUAACAAGAAAUAACAAUACAAGGCAGUUAAAAUGCUUUGUAAUUGGAAUGAUAGAAAUUUAAACCCUUUUUAAAGUAUCAAUUGGAGGGCAAGUCUGGUGCCAGCAGCCGCGGUAAUUCCAGCUCCAAUAGCGUAUAUUAAAAUUGUUGCAGUUAAAAAGCUCGUAGUUGAAGUUCUGCUAAAAGUAACCGGUCUGCUUUGAAUAAAAGUGGUAUCUUGGUAUGUAUUUAGCAAUGAUGUCCUUUGAAGUGUUUUUUACUUUAUUGUAAUAAAGCAUAUUCAGGACUUUUACUUUGAGAAAAUUAGAGUGUUUCUAGCAGGCCAACGCUUUGAAUACUGCAGCAUGGAAUAAUAA
Molecule: ribosomal RNA, 607 nt
Filed under: Hepatozoon canis
Lineage: Eukaryota; Apicomplexa; Hepatozoidae
Description: SSU rRNA
Rfam family: Eukaryotic small subunit ribosomal RNA
Source: RNAcentral